Molecule: long non-coding RNA, 969 nt
Filed under: Phascolarctos cinereus (koala)
Lineage: Eukaryota; Metazoa; Chordata; Mammalia; Diprotodontia; Phascolarctidae
Description: lncRNA (ENSPCIG00000030804.1)
Source: RNAcentral
GCAGCGGCGGCAGCGGCUCCUCUGCAGCGGCGGCGGCCCGCGCCGGGGCACGAAAAGAAAGCUGUCAACGGCGCCUGUGCCCUGGGCUGGGCGAGCACCGGCCGGGCCCGGGCCCCCGCCCCCAGCUUCAAGGUAGCCCGGGAGCGCGAGCGGCAGCGCGACACGUGCGCCCGGAGCUGCUGCAGGAGCGGAGCCGGAGCCGGAGCCCGAGCCCGAGCCCGAGCCCGAGCCCGAGCCGGAGGGCGGGAGCCGGCGCGGGGCGGGGGCGCACGCGGCGGCCAGCAGCCCCGGACCUCGGCGCUGCCCCGCGCCCUGCUCCCGGCGCUCCGCGCACAGGGCAGACUAUGCCAUUGGGAGCCGACCGGGGCCGAGGCCAACUUGCAUCCGGCAGCGGCGGAGCAGCAGUGGCCAGAGGAGGAGGAGGAGAAGGAGGAGGAAGAGAAGGAGAAGGAGGUGCCCGGGCAGCCAAGAGGAGCUGCUACCGGGGCCGGGGCCGAGGCGGAGGGGCCGGUCGUGCCUGGGGCCCGCCGCACCGAGGGGCCCCGGCCGCGCAGCCUUGAAGCGGAGGAGCAGCCAGCCCCCGGCGGGCUGGGGCAGGAGGAAGAGCUCGGGGCCGAGCCAGGCCGGAGGGGAGUGCCCUGCCCUGCCCUGCUUUGCCCCACACCUCACGCACGCACGCAGCCCGAGGCCAGCAGAGGAUGUCAGCAUAUGUGUGCCAGACCAUCCAUCCUUCACUGCAGCCAGAGGCUUGUCCUCAGCUUUCGCUCAUGAGUGCCAGGCGUGACAUUGCAGGCAGGCGUUCCAGGUAAGGACUUUUGGGAAAGUGGAGGGGAGGGGCCUGUAAAGUUGCACCCUCUGAGGCUGAAAGCUACUCUGAGGAGCUGUAGGCUGGCCUGGGCUUCGGCGGGGGGCACUGUUUUUUGUUCCCUUCCCCCCUUCACCUGAAGUCUGUCUUGGUCCUGAGGCAGG